UAGGGAAUAUUGGGCAAUGGAUGCAAGUCUGACCCAGCCAUGCCGCGUGCCGGAUGAAGGCCCUCAGGGUUGUAAACGGCUUUUAUUCGGGAAGAAGAGCAGGGAUGCGUCCUUGUGUGACGGUACCGAAUGAAUAAGCACCGGCUAACUCCGUGCCAGCAGCCGCGGUAAUACGGAGGGUGCGAGCGUUGUCCGGAUUUAUUGGGUUUAAAGGGUGCGUAGGUGGCUUUAUAAGUCAGUGGUGAAAUACAGCCGCUCAACGGUUGAGGUGCCAUUGAUACUGUAGAGCUUGAAACAAGUGGAGGCUGCCGGAAUGGAUGGUGUAGCGGUGAAAUGCAUAGAUAUCAUCCAGAACACCGAUUGCGAAGGCAGGUGGCUACGUUUGAUUUGACACUGAGGCACGAAAGCAUGGGGAGCAAACA
This 422-nucleotide ribosomal RNA is filed under the name uncultured bacterium. RNAcentral's name for it is "bacterial SSU rRNA". It matches the Rfam family "Bacterial small subunit ribosomal RNA", at positions 355 to 774 of the family's 1533-position model. RNAcentral also lists the same sequence under 1 other name. The record is from RNAcentral.